RNAcentral lists this unclassified non-coding RNA (180 nucleotides) under uncultured fungus. RNAcentral's name for it is "sequence contains ITS1, 5.8S rRNA gene". The record is from RNAcentral. Lineage: Eukaryota; Fungi.
CAGCGUAACCUGGUCGUUCGCGACCGGCUACCCGUCCUCUGUCAUGCGAAUCUAGCGAUAUUACUUCCCAGGAGGUGUUGCGCAGGCCGUCAAAAAGCCUGCGUGACCGCCUGGGGUCUUUUUUUGCAAACUCUUGCGAGAAGCGUGAAGUCUGAAUUUUAUAUACCAAAAAAAAAAGCA